This 566-nucleotide ribosomal RNA is filed under the name Aspergillus hiratsukae. RNAcentral describes it as "eukaryotic LSU rRNA". The stretch from base 201 to 354 matches the Rfam family "5.8S ribosomal RNA". Lineage: Eukaryota; Fungi; Ascomycota; Eurotiomycetes; Eurotiales; Aspergillaceae. The record is from RNAcentral.
AAGGAUCAUUACCGAGUGCUGGGCCCUCUGGGUCCAACCUCCCACCCGUGUCUAUUGUACCUUGUUGCUUCGGCGGGCCCGCCGUUUUCGAACGGCCGCCGGGGAGGCCUCGCGCCCCCGGGCCCGCGCCCGCCGAAGACCCCAACAUGAACGCUGUUCUGAAAGUAUGCAGUCUGAGUUUGAUUAUCAUAAUCAGUUAAAACUUUCAACAACGGAUCUCUUGGUUCCGGCAUCGAUGAAGAACGCAGCGAAAUGCGAUAAGUAAUGUGAAUUGCAGAAUUCAGUGAAUCAUCGAGUCUUUGAACGCACAUUGCGCCCCCUGGUAUUCCGGGGGGCAUGCCUGUCCGAGCGUCAUUGCUGCCCUCAAGCACGGCUUGUGUGUUGGGCCCCCGUCCCCGGUUCUCCCCGGGGACGGGCCCGAAAGGCAGCGGCGGCACCGCGUCCGAUCCUCGAGCGUAUGGGGCUUUGUCACCCGCUCUGUAGGCCCGGCCGGCGCCAGCCGACACCCCAACUUUAUUUUUCUAAGGUUGACCUCGGAUCAGGUAGGGAUACCCGCUGAACUUAAG